This 249-nucleotide ribosomal RNA is filed under the name uncultured bacterium. Its description in RNAcentral is "partial 16S ribosomal RNA". It matches the Rfam family "Bacterial small subunit ribosomal RNA", at positions 528 to 776 of the family's 1533-position model. The record is from RNAcentral.
UAGGGGGCAAGCGUUGUCCGGAAUCAUUGGGCGUAAAGCGCGUGUAGGCGGCCCGGUAAGUCCGCUGUGAAAGUCCAGGGCUCAACCCUGGGAUGCCGGUGGAUACUGUCGGGCUCGAGUCCGGAAGAGGCGAGUGGAAUUCCUGGUGUAGCGGUGAAAUGCGCAGAUAUCAGGAGGAACACCAAUGGCGAAGGCAGCUCGCUGGGACGUGACUGACGCUGAGACGCGAAAGCGUGGGGAGCAAACAGG